CAGCAGCCGCGGUAAUACGUAGGGGGCGAGCGUUGUCCGGAAUGACUGGGCGUAAAGGGCGUGUAGGCGGCCGAUUAAGUCCGGAGUGAAAGUCCUGCUUUCAAGGUGGGAAUUGCUUUGGAAACUGGUUGGCUUGAGUGCGGAAGAGGUAAGUGGAAUUCCCAGUGUAGCGGUGAAAUGCGUAGAGAUUGGGAGGAACACCAGUGGCGAAGGCGACUUACUGGGCCGUAACUGACGCUGAGGCGCGAAAGCGUGGGGAGCGAACAGGAUUAGAUACCCUGGUAGUCCACGCGGUAAACGAUGAAUGCUAGGUGUAGGGGGUAUCGACCCCUCCUGUGCCGGAGUAAACACAAUAAGCAUUCCGCCUGGGGAGUACGGCCGCAAGGUUGAAACUCAAAGGAAUUGACGGGGGCCCGCACAAGCAGCGGAGCAUGUUGUUUAAUUCGAUGCAACGCGAAGAACCUUACCAGGUCUUGACAUUGAUGUAAACCGCCAGAGAUGGCGGGUGCCUUCGGGCGACAGAAAACAGGUGGUGCAUGGCC
Molecule: ribosomal RNA, 542 nt
Filed under: uncultured archaeon
Lineage: Archaea
Description: bacterial SSU rRNA
Rfam family: Bacterial small subunit ribosomal RNA
Source: RNAcentral